This 253-nucleotide ribosomal RNA is filed under the name uncultured bacterium. Its description in RNAcentral is "partial 16S ribosomal RNA". It matches the Rfam family "Bacterial small subunit ribosomal RNA", at positions 524 to 776 of the family's 1533-position model. The record is from RNAcentral.
UACGUAGGGUGCGAGCGUUGUCCGGAAUUAUUGGGCGUAAAGAGCUCGUAGGCGGUUUGUUGCGUCUAUCGUGAAAACCUGCAGCUUAACUGUGGGCUUGCGGUGGAUACGGGCAGACUUGAGUUCGGUAGGGGAGACUGGAAUUCCUGGUGUAGCGGUGAAAUGCGCAGAUAUCAGGAGGAACACCGGUGGCGAAGGCGGGUCUCUGGGCCGUAACUGACGCUGAGACACGAAAGCGCGGGUAGCAAACAGG